GGAGCGUCACAUUGCCUUCUGCUUGAUGCAGAAGUUUGUUGACUUGCAGAAAUUUGGAACUAAAUUGGAAAUUUUCUCGGUCUUUUCAGUAGAGCAUGUGAAGGGUUUUGUAUACUUUGAAGCUGACAAAGCUUGUGAUGUGACCGAGGCUUGCAAAGGGAUUUACGAUGUUUAUUCAAGCCAAGUGGGUCUUGUGCCCAGAAAUGAAGUUCCUCACUUGUUC
RNAcentral lists this unclassified non-coding RNA (223 nucleotides) under Hevea brasiliensis (rubber tree). Lineage: Eukaryota; Viridiplantae; Streptophyta; Magnoliopsida; Malpighiales; Euphorbiaceae. The record is from RNAcentral.